Molecule: long non-coding RNA, 688 nt
Organism: Apis dorsata (giant honeybee)
Lineage: Eukaryota; Metazoa; Arthropoda; Insecta; Hymenoptera; Apidae
Exons: 2
Source: RefSeq, a predicted model, not a curated record
UUUUUUUUUUUCGUACGUAGGAUUUAGAAUCCUACGCAUCAUUUAUUAUCGUUCAAAUUAUAUUUUCUUCGAAGAUAGAACGAAAUAAUACUCAAGAAAAUUCAGAACAAUAUUUCUUUCACGAUAGAAUAAAAUAAUAUUCCAAAGAAAUUCAAUGAAACCAGACCCAUAUUUCAUCAUCCUUCUUGUGUGCGCUAAAACAAAUCGUUAAGACAUUAGUGAAAUGCAAUAUAACGAGAAUCUCGUUACCAGAGAUAAAAAUCGUAUUUCUUCCCUUUUGGGAUUCGUUCUCGCGUUUCGAUUUCUCGCGGGACGUUGAAACGUUGGUGAAAACGUAGUAAAGAUGACGUCACAAUGGCGUUAAGGGCAACGAAGCACACAGUUUCGAAAACAUGAAAGACUUCAGGAACAAUGGUGGUCUUGGUUCUCGAUUGUGGUUUGCUGUCGUUCUGCUUUCAUCGAAAUAACGAAGCUGGUCAAACGUAUCGAAGCGAAGGUUGACGACAAAGUUUCCCAUCGUCAUCGCAGCUGCUGUCUCCGUUUUCCUUUUACGUGGCUCACACGCGGCAGACGAUUCUCUUCGAUCAAUAGGGUUCCAGGUGUUCCAUGUAUUACUUAGAAGCCUCGUUCCCCGUAUUGGUUAAUGACUGUUGAAUAAACAAUAGCUUUCGGUAGACCAGUGUAAAUU